AAAAAAAGAAAAAGGAAGAAGAAGAAUAGGCAAGAACAGAUGGAAGGAAGAAAAAUAGGUGGGAAGGUGGAGUAUAGAUCGCGGUAACGUAGGCCGCUCGCUCACCAAAGAUUGGAUGCAGCCGAAGUCAUGUGCCGGAAAACAUACCUUUACCCUUCUAUUUACUCGUUUCUUCAAGACACGAUAAAGCAAGCACGAGUUUGGGUGGCUCAGCUCAGUCUUCGUACUCAUCAUAUCGACUCUUUUCUUUGUCCAUGACAAACGCUCACGCGUGCUUUGCACCUCUUAAAUAGUUGCCAAUGACAUAAGAUUGGUUUGGCACAGCUUUCUAUCGGGAGGUGUCGAGGACAUAAAGAUCAUAAGAUUAUGUUUCACUUAACCUUCGGAUGCAAUUGCGAUUCUCGACAAAAGGUCGUAUUUUCAUGACUUACUAAUGAAAUGCAUCGCGCGGCCCCAAUCUCCCUUCAAAUGUCACAUGUCGAGCUAAACCAUGUCCGAAGUCCUUCUUAAAUUAUUUUCCUUCACGUUUGUCAUCGGCAUUAUGGAGGACUUAUGCUUAGGGAAGAAUCGAACGCCACCAGCCGCCUCGGAGUGAAUCCAUCAUUUCAUUUAUUGGACUUCGACGAAUUCUUUUUCCUUAGGGAUUUUUAUUUGUGAAUAACUUGAUGAUAUCGUGUUGGACGAUGACCUCCUGGAUGCCCCUUUAUCUGCAUUUCCCAGCAUUUCUACUUCCUCACCAAGAAUACAUCCUUCGACAACUCAUCUGCAAGCCAAGGAGGGAAGAUAUAUUGCUGCCAACAGCAUUCAUUCUUGAUUUCCGCUUUCUACAAGUUUCUUUCUUUUGAGUAGGUGACUACCUGAUCUCCCCUGUUACCACCUACUCUCUUGGUUCGAUUGCUUCCCCUGCCCUGCUGCCCUUCCGUAAGUUAUAUUUUUCAUAUUUCUGUUGAUAUCCAUAUAAACAUAUGUCUAUAACACAACUUAAACACCAACAUGUUAAUUCUCUGGUCGGGUUUCAGCCAAAAAAAAAAAAAACAAAAGAAGCUUUUUUCCGCUCCAAGGAAUGAUAGUUUUCUUAUCAGAAAAUGCUUUUCUGCAAUACAAUAGGAAUUCUUGGUCCAGAAAUUUGAUCCUCGAUUAAUGUGUAGUUUUUCUGGGGUAUAUGGUAAUUUGCCCAUUAGUUUGCUGAGAUAAUUAAGGAGCUUUGGAACGUCUGGCUCGUUUUAUUCAAUGUCUUUAACCUGUAUCAAGUUAUCUAUACCUUUUUCUUCACCCGGUUGAAUUUGAUAACUUGUAACUCUUAUUGGUGGAAGUUGCGGGAGUCUCUAGAUGUUCUUCACGUGCAAGCUAGAUGUAAUGUUUCACAAAGCUUCAUUUCAAGUCCGAUCUUUAAAUAAUUGUGUCACCAUCUAGUAUAGAAUUCAAUUUCUUUUUCCUUGGAGUGAAGCCUAAUUUUGUUUAAGCUACUAUCAACAUUGUGUGCAUUGUGCUAAAAUUUGUGUCGCAGAAUUUAUUACAUAUGGUCAAGAAAAUGUUGUAUUCUCCAUUCUGGUUGGCUUAUAAUCGAUAAAUUAUGCACCGAGUUAGAUAUAGAAUAUAUAUUCUGUCUGAAAUUCAAGUUUGACUAAUUCAUCACCUGGGAUAAUGGGUGAUAAACCAUGGGGCAAAUGCUUUGUUGUGUGCAAGUAGAA
This is a non-coding RNA of Musa acuminata subsp. malaccensis (wild Malaysian banana), 1691 nucleotides long. The record is from RefSeq and is a predicted model, not a curated record. NCBI's taxonomy places the organism in Eukaryota, Viridiplantae, Streptophyta, Magnoliopsida, Zingiberales, Musaceae.